This 468-nucleotide ribosomal RNA is filed under the name uncultured bacterium. Its description in RNAcentral is "partial 16S ribosomal RNA". It matches the Rfam family "Bacterial small subunit ribosomal RNA", at positions 28 to 507 of the family's 1533-position model. The record is from RNAcentral.
GACGAACGCUGGCGGCGUGCUUAACACAUGCAAGUCGAACGGAAAGGCCCUGCUUUUGUGGGGUGCUCGAGUGGCGAACGGGUGAGUAACACGUGAGUAACCUGCCCUUGACUUUGGGAUAACUUCAGGAAACUGGGGCUAAUACCGGAUAGGAGCUCCUGCUGCAUGGUGGGGGUUGGAAAGUUUCGGCGGUUGGGGAUGGACUCGCGGCUUAUCAGCUUGUUGGUGGGGUAGUGGCUUACCAAGGCUUUGACGGGUAGCCGGCCUGAGAGGGUGACCGGCGACAUUGGGACUGAGAUACGGACCAGACUCCUACGGGAGGCAGCAGUGGGGAAUAUUGCACAAUGGGCGGAAGCCUGAUGAAGCAACGCCGCGGGCGGGAUGACGGCCUUCGGGUUGUAAACCGCUUUCGCCUGUGACGAAGCGUGAGUGACGGUAAUGGGUAAAGAAGCACCGGCUAACUACGUG